UGUGACCAUACAAAGAAAGCUUUACAUCAGCGCGCCGUGGCCACUGGUGGAACCGACUGUUUCUUUGACGAAAGCUAACCGCGUACAAAAUGGCGCAAAAUGUCACGAAUUUAUCAUGCAUCAAGUUAUAUUUUCUUUAGUAUAAUAAUUACAUUCGUUUAGUUAAGCAACUUGUUUAUGAUAAUUGUAGAAAAGUGUAGAAAAAUGACACUUGCAUUAUAUCCUGGGAUGAAGAAACGUUAUUUUAUGUCGAUUUCUUUAGAUGACAAAGGAGGUAACCAAAUAGCAUAUCUUACAAAAUCUGAGGACAAUAAUAAGGAUCGUUUAUCAAGGUUAAAAUAAUUAUUUUACUAAAUUAAGACAUUAACAUAUCCAUGUGUUCGACAUAACCUCACUUCUUAAAUCUCUUAAAUUAGUCGGUUGAGAAGCGGAUCGAGAAUGAUUGUUUGAAUAUAAGUCGUACAAAAUUGGAAUGAAACGAUGAACAAUAUACAGAUCUUUAGACAGGCUCAAAUAAUGUAUGUUUAGGAGCAACUUGAAGAUAAUGGAGAUUUAUCUUCUUAAUAUAAAACCUCUAAAAUUGGGAACAGUAUGU
This is a long non-coding RNA of Ctenocephalides felis (cat flea), 595 nucleotides long. RefSeq lists it as uncharacterized. The transcript is spliced from 4 exons. The record is from RefSeq and is a predicted model, not a curated record. Lineage: Eukaryota; Metazoa; Arthropoda; Insecta; Siphonaptera; Pulicidae.